RNAcentral lists this long non-coding RNA (1204 nucleotides) under Aquilegia coerulea. Its description in RNAcentral is "long non-coding RNA (ACOE_LNC000823)". The record is from RNAcentral. Lineage: Eukaryota; Viridiplantae; Streptophyta; Magnoliopsida; Ranunculales; Ranunculaceae.
UUACAGCCCAUUUUCCACUGUGCAGGUGGUGUGCAGGUUCACUUUUCUGUGAUAUGGGCCUUUUUCCGUUUCAUUAUCAGUUAUUUACUAUUCCCGUUUUUCCUACCUAACAUAUUGCCUGGGCUGUGUCCAUGUGCUUGAAUGCAUUGUAUGUGCUGGUCAUUUUGGUCUCUUUCAUAUUAGUUAUCCUGUAGGUUCUUGGCCUUAGUUCAAUUUAUAGGUGGUUAUCCAUGUUUUAAAAAUGAUUAGAAAAUUGGGAAGCUUACACAGUUACACUGAGAGAGAAAAUUUUAAUCCCCAAGUAAACUUCAUAUAUAUAGUUAAAGCCACUUGCUGAUGCAUAUACCCUACUAUUAUUCUGAUUAGAAAUCAUGUAGAAACAUGUGACAAUAACCUUGGAUUGAAUAAUGCCAUUUGCUGUGUUAAUUAUCAGAUCUGCUGAAGUCACUUGUAUCUACAUAUCAUCCCAUAUAAAAUACCAAAUAUUCUCAAUCACGUAUUAGUACAAUCUUAUCCAAUUUUUGUGUUAUCCUAUUCGCUUGAUUCUAUCACCUGAAAUGGAUCUUUUACUCUAGAAAACUCUAGAUAUCAUUUUAUUAUCUUUAAGAUAUGGCAUUUUUCAAUAGAAUGUUCUUCAUUUCAAUCCCCCCAAUGAAGCACCUAUACUGGAUAUGAUAUGGACACCUUAUAAAACAAAGAUAGUGGUUUGGCAAGUAUUUUGCAACUGAAUAUUAUUUCAUUUUCUUCAGUUAUUAGCAUGCAAUCUAAAAAGUGAUAUAUAGGUGUGUCAUUUGCCAUAUCUGAAACGAGCUUGUAGGAAUGCCAUUUGGCUUUUUUGAUAUUGGGGUGCCACCAAUUUUGAGUAUCGGUUUUUCAGAGAUAGCGGAUAGCACAUAAGUCUGUAGUAUUUGUAGUCUAGAUUUUCUUCCUAUUACUUUGCUGGUCAAAUAGAUGAGAAUUCAGAUCUUUGCUUGUGAAAGGCAUGUCAUUAUGUCAAAGAGAGGCUUAUUAGGGAUCCUAACCUAUGUUAUAAUACUCGCCCUAAGUUAAUUUUAACUAUGUAUUGUUGUUGCUUCUACAGGUCAGUUUGCAUUAAUAUUCUCCACUAUCUGUUGCGAUCUAUUGCGCUUCAGCUUCAACAGGUCAGUUUACAUCACUCAAUACUAGAUCAUGGUGUUUAGUUUUGAAAUUUUAAUUUUUGAUU